GAUGAACGCUGGCGGCGUGCCUAAUACAUGCAAGUCGAGCGAACAGAUGAGGAGCUUGCUCCUCUGACGUUAGCGGCGGACGGGUGAGUAACACGUGGAUAACCUACCUAUAAGACUGGGAUAACUUCGGGAAACCGGAGCUAAUACCGGAUAAUAUAUUGAACCGCAUGGUUCAAUAGUGAAAGACGGUGUUGCGGUCACGUAUAGAUGGAUCCGCGCCGGAUUAGCUAGUUGGUAAGGUAAAGGCUUACCAAGGCAACGAUGCGUAGCCGACCUGAGAGGGUGAUCGGCCACACUGGAACUGAGACACGGUCCAGACUCCUACGGGAGGCAGCAGUCGGCAAUCUUCCGCAAUGGGCGAAAGCCUGACGGAGCAACGCCGCGUGAGUUAUGACGGUCUUCGGAUCGUAAAGCUCUGUUAUUAGGGAAGAACAAAUGUGUCAGUAACUAUGCACGUCUUGACGGUACCUAAUCAGAAAGCCACGGCUAACUACGUG
RNAcentral lists this ribosomal RNA (497 nucleotides) under uncultured bacterium. RNAcentral describes it as "partial 16S ribosomal RNA". It matches the Rfam family "Bacterial small subunit ribosomal RNA", at positions 28 to 507 of the family's 1533-position model. The record is from RNAcentral.